AUUAUGACAAUAAUUCAUUAAGUACUUUUUAGUAAUUUGUUACAAUCUACCUCAUUCUGAUUCUGAUUCCAAAAUAAAAUAAACACAUCAAUGAGAUUCCAGCCCAUUCUGAUUCCAAUUUCUGUAGGUCAAGUAAACAAUUUAUUUUGAAUCACAUUCCCCAUUCUCAUUCCAGCUCAUUCUGAUUCCAGCCUAUUCUGAUUCCAACCCAUUCCAAUUACUGACAAGUAAAUGCACCAUUAAUGUAACUUACAACCCACUUAAAACAAUACAAAAAUCAGGUGGAUCUCACUGUUAUGUUACUCAUUUAUACAUAUAAUAUGUGGGUUACAUUAAUUGCAACUUAGUAAAAUCGUUCAAUGAAUUACAGCACUCACAAUUUUGUAAUCCUUCAGUGAAUUACAACAUUGGCAAUUUUGUAAUAUACAAUACUGGCAAUUUUAUAUAAUUGAAGCAGUAAUAGUUUGGCAAAUAAAAUUAGAAACCUUUCCCAAAUCUGGCUGAGUUAAGAGCCAGCUUAGCCCACACUCUCCUUCACCACUGGUUGAUAAGUUCUUUCUUCGAUUUUUAAACUUGAAGUGACAUUCCUUCGGUGUCCAAAAUUUUUAUAGUCUCCCCACAUCCUCUAAGUUCAACAAUAGAGUCAGAAUGACGAUGGAGUUUCACACAAUCAAAUAUAAUCCUAAUGAUUCUUUUUAUACGCCCACUCGUACGCAGACUUGUUUAGUUGAUGUUUAAUUAAGCACGAAAUUGAUGUUUGAUCGUAAUUAAUUAGAUGAACACACACAUGCAUGAGUAAAUACAUAAAAUUAAAUUAACCAAAACAGUAAAUAUAAGAGUAAAUCGAUCGUAUGUGUGCAGACACCACAACCGAAUUAUAUAUAUCACCGCCAGACAUAAAUCUUAUUCCAAUGAUAUAUGAUUAAUUAUUGUUAUUAAAUUGUAAUGUCAAUUGUGCAUAGAAGAUUUAUUCUUUCUAGAUGAAAUAUGAAAGUUAGUAACUUUUUUCCCUUUUUUUAAAUAAUAAUCGUCAAAACAAAUUAAAAAGGAUAUUGGGACUUGAGUUUUGGGUCUACUUGAGUUAGAAAUAUCGCUAAUAGGGUAAAUCAAUAAUACAAUACUUUUUUCUUUUUUUGAAAACCCUCAUAUAGUUCAUGGUCCUACUCAUAUACUAAAUUAAUAAUUCUUUGAAGUUACCAAUAAUUGUUAU
RNAcentral lists this long non-coding RNA (1210 nucleotides) under Citrus x clementina. RNAcentral describes it as "Citrus clementina (C. clementina) long non-coding RNA (CCLE_LNC003595)". The record is from RNAcentral. Lineage: Eukaryota; Viridiplantae; Streptophyta; Magnoliopsida; Sapindales; Rutaceae.